GCUUUCUUCUGGGAUAGCUCAGUUAGUAGAGCAUAAGACUCUUAAUCUCAGGGUUGAAGGUUUGAACCCUACACUGGGCA
Non-coding RNA from Podarcis lilfordi (Lilford's wall lizard), 80 nucleotides. Lineage: Eukaryota; Metazoa; Chordata; Lepidosauria; Squamata; Lacertidae. The record is from the annotation of a GenBank genome assembly.